GGGUUGUCAUGCCAAUGGCACUGCCCGGUAGCUAAAUGCGGAAGAGAUAAGUGCUGAAAGCAUCUAAGCACGAAACUUGCCCCGAGAUGAGUUCUCCCUGAGACUUUAAGUCUCCUGAAGGAACGUUGAAGACGAUGACGUUGAUAGGCCGGGUGUGUAAGCGCAGCGAUGCGUUGAGCUAACCGGUACUAAUGAACCGUGAGGCUUAACCUU
This 213-nucleotide ribosomal RNA is filed under the name Klebsiella pneumoniae. Its description in RNAcentral is "partial 23S ribosomal RNA". It matches the Rfam family "Bacterial large subunit ribosomal RNA", at positions 2718 to 2925 of the family's 2925-position model. The record is from RNAcentral. Lineage: Bacteria; Pseudomonadati; Pseudomonadota; Gammaproteobacteria; Enterobacterales; Enterobacteriaceae.